GUUCUCUUCUACAAGCACAAACAGAUAUUGUAAAAAAACUUGUGGGUGUAAACAUGGCACAGAUACCGGCUCCGGUUGUAGCUACUCCACAGCAAAAUUCAGUUGCAGGCACAUCACGUCAAAGCAUCUCGCCAUCACCAGCACAACAUCUUCAAAUGCUGGAUAAGAAAGACGAUGAAAUGAGAGGGUCAGAAGUCAACAAGAG
This 205-nucleotide unclassified non-coding RNA is filed under the name Melitaea cinxia (Glanville fritillary). Its description in RNAcentral is "misc RNA ENSMCXG00005001547.1". Lineage: Eukaryota; Metazoa; Arthropoda; Insecta; Lepidoptera; Nymphalidae. The record is from RNAcentral.